Gasterosteus aculeatus aculeatus (three-spined stickleback) is the source of this 718-nucleotide long non-coding RNA. NCBI's taxonomy places the organism in Eukaryota, Metazoa, Chordata, Actinopteri, Perciformes, Gasterosteidae. The record is from Ensembl.
AGAUCUCCAGCGGUCGGAAGGGCCCGAGUCCUGUUAUCUAGAACACAUCCGAGAGGGAUCAGGAGUCUCAUUCUAGGUCUCACCAGGAGGCGGCAGGCUCCUCACAGGACACGGAAACUGCACCAAAGGUCUUUAGAAGGCUGCGGAAACCGAUUCAAAGCUCGACAGGAGCUACAACGUGUCUGCUAAGUGUCACCUGCAGAUGGUGGUGUCGCAUACUUUACUCACGUUAGCGCCAUGCUAUCGCCGGUAGCUUGAAGGAGCAGCAGCGCGGGUCGAGGCGGAAAGCCGAGCGGCAAAAGCAGCUCCUCCACGGCGCCGCAGUCACAAGCAAAUGUCCCCGUAGAGACCCGGAAGAUGAGCCGUUCUGUGUAAUUCGUGGCCUUGAAAGCAUCUUAUUCGUCCCAGAGAAGGAUGCCUGGGAGAGACGGACGAAAGGCUCUGGUUCCGCUCCAUGACAUCCACCCUGAAGAAUCUCAUCACUGAAGCUUGAGCUGCUGUAGGGCGGAAGGAGGAGGACUCCUUGGAGGACAUCUGAGAUCCUCACCACCUCGCAGCAACUGACGCUGACUUUUGACUUUUUUUCUGGUUCACAUUGAGGUCUAAAAAUAAAUGUUUCUUUCUCUGACUCAUAAGUGCUCUAUAAUUGGUAGUAGAUUCUCGCUGCUUUUCCAUUGCAAGUAGGGCAGUUUAAAUAAUACGGGCAGGGCAUUUUUAU